GGGGAUGUCGGGUUUCGACAGGCGGUCAGAUUGAAGAUUUGCAGGCCGAGGUGCCGGUCAGCACAUCUCGUUAAACAACCGGCAAAAAAUAGUUGCCAAAACAGCAACACCUUCCUACGCUCUCGCUGCUUAAUAACCAGUGAGUCGUCGUCCUCCUAACUUUCGUCCACGGGGUUAGUAAAGGGCGCCAAAUUACAUGGGCUGCUGUGGUCGCCACCGUCUUCUAACGACCACUUAAGACCAGAGGGCCACCGUAGAGGAAUCCGGUCGAUGGGAGUCCACCACGGAAAGCAAAAACAUCGGCUAAGCCUGUAGCAUAUUCUCCAGUAGGACUGGUUGGACGGGGAGUUCAACUCUCCCCCAUCUCCACCA
This is a non-coding RNA of Ktedonobacter racemifer DSM 44963, 372 nucleotides long. It matches the Rfam family "transfer-messenger RNA". From Rfam's summary of the family: Bacterial tmRNA, also known as 10Sa RNA or SsrA, is named for its dual tRNA and mRNA-like properties. Its role is to liberate the mRNA from a stalled ribosome. To accomplish this part of the tmRNA is used as a reading frame that ends in a translation stop signal. The record is from Rfam. NCBI's taxonomy places the organism in Bacteria, Bacillati, Chloroflexota, Ktedonobacteria, Ktedonobacterales, Ktedonobacteraceae.